This is a long non-coding RNA of Austrofundulus limnaeus, 1232 nucleotides long. RefSeq lists it as uncharacterized. NCBI's taxonomy places the organism in Eukaryota, Metazoa, Chordata, Actinopteri, Cyprinodontiformes, Rivulidae. The transcript has 2 exons. The record is from RefSeq and is a predicted model, not a curated record.
GACGUCACGGACCCGGUAUAAAACCGCUCCGCCUGAUGCUGCGUCCACACUACAGAGAAGCAGCGCCUGUGGRCAUCCUCCUCCAUCUGACCAAACAAGAUUCAAUUAGUUCAGGAGAAAUAAAAGAAGAAGCGUCCAAAAUGCUCAAAAUGACGCUCGUUCAGCUCGGGCUGAUUUUGCUGGUGAUAUGCCUAUCAACACAGGUGGGCUCCCAGAACACCACCAUCACCACCGGAACGAAAUCUGCCUCCUCCUCCAUCAACAGUUCCACUGCGGCAACAGCGGUAAACUCCAGUGGCAACUCCACCAAACCCACCGGGGCGGGCGUCUCGCUGCACGCCGGCGCCCCCUCUGUCCUGACCCCCAUCAUCGUGGCCGCCUCCCUCCUGCAACGCUACUGUUAAAAACGACUCCCUUUCUGCUCCGCCUCAACUCCUCUCCUCGGCCGUCGUCAUCCCACCCAGUCCAGCUUCUCAUCUCGCGCUCUUAGAGACCACAAGACCAACAUAGAUGGACUCCACAGCCUUCUUCACCCUCCUUAAGUAAAAUAAAAAUAUCAUUUAAGACAUUUCUCUUUAGGAAAGGGGUGUGAAUCUAAUGUUCAGUUGGAGAUCUUCACCACAGCCCCCCCCUCUCCUCCCCUGCGUCCAGCCUCUUGCACCGAAUCAAAAGGAAUAGUGGUGCUUUUUCCCUUUUGGCUUUCCAUUGUCAGACCAUCACAUGUGGGAGAUGCUCAGGUUGCCAUGUCUUAUGUCCUGAUUGAACACGUGGACCACUUGAGUGCACAGGUUUUAUUUUUGUGGCUUUAAAUCCAACUGGAAGUCAAAAAUAUCUGACUGGUCUUUGUUAAAACGAAGUUUGGCAGAUCGGGGGUUUAGGAAAUGUGUGAGCCUGAUGACAUUGUUAGCUGCGUCUUUGGUCUUUUUUUCUUUUUUUUUUCUUUUUGUUUUUGUUAGAAAUGUUAACGUUUAUGUAGCACAAAAGUUGCCACAGAGUUUGUGUCAGUUUUGCCUCGUGAUUUUUAAAGAGUUGCCGUCUUUUGCGAUGAGGGUGUGACACCAUUCUUCUCUUUAUCCCCGGGUUAGACCCAGCAGAUUAUACUGUAAAACUGAAAUGUUAGAUUUACAUUUCCCCCUUAUAGUUUAUAUUUUGUAAAAAAAAAAUCUGUUGUUAUUAGUUUGCUUACAGAAAAAUGUAAGUAAUGACAAUGUACAAUAAAUUAUGAAAACUAA